Molecule: ribosomal RNA, 446 nt
Filed under: uncultured bacterium
Lineage: Bacteria
Description: bacterial SSU rRNA
Rfam family: Bacterial small subunit ribosomal RNA
Source: RNAcentral
AACGAACGCUGGCGGCAUGCCUAACACAUGCAAGUCGAACGAGACCUUCGGGUCUAGUGGCGCACGGGUGCGUAACGCGUGGGAAUCUGCCCUUGGGUUCGGAAUAACAGUUGGAAACGACUGCUAAUACCGGAUGAUGACGUAAGUCCAAAGAUUUAUCGCCCAAGGAUGAGCCCGCGUAGGAUUAGCUAGUUGGUGAGGUAAAGGCUCACCAAGGCGACGAUCCUUAGCUGGUCUGAGAGGAUGAUCAGCCACACUGGGACUGAGACACGGCCCAGACUCCUACGGGAGGCAGCAGUGGGGAAUAUUGGACAAUGGCGAAAGCCUGAUCCAGCAAUGCCGCGUGAGUGAUGAAGGCCUUAGGGUUGUAAAGCUCUUUUACCCGGGAUGAUAAUGACAGUACCGGGAGAAUAAGCUCCGGCUAACUCCGUGCCAGCAGCCGCGGU